RNAcentral lists this ribosomal RNA (110 nucleotides) under uncultured Cercozoa. RNAcentral describes it as "partial 18S ribosomal RNA". Lineage: Eukaryota; Cercozoa. The record is from RNAcentral.
GGAAGGCAGCAGGCGCGCAAAUUACCCAAUCCCUUACUCUAGAAGGUAGUGACAAGAAAUAGCGAUUCCGGGUCUUUAUAGGUUCUGGUUAAUUGGCAAAGGARCGUAUU